Bubalus bubalis (water buffalo) is the source of this 4924-nucleotide long non-coding RNA. RefSeq lists it as uncharacterized. Lineage: Eukaryota; Metazoa; Chordata; Mammalia; Artiodactyla; Bovidae. The transcript is spliced from 2 exons. The record is from RefSeq and is a predicted model, not a curated record.
UCAGUGAUGCCAUCCAACCAUCUCCUCCUGUGUCGUCCCCUUCUUCUGCCUUCAGUCUUUCCCAGCAUCGGGGUCUUUUCCAGUGAGUCAGGUCUCUGCAUCAGGUGGCCAAAGUAUUGGAGCCACUGCCUGUCCAUUUAUUUGACUGAAUUAGCCUGAACCUGCCAAACCCUUGUUUGGCCAUGCGUGAGUUUUCCCUGGUCACUUGUUCCCCUGAAUCUCAUGUUUGUGGCAGUUAAAAUGCAUUGUCAGCAUCAGAACACAGUGAAACAGUUGUUUGUGACAGCGCUGGGGUCUGACGUCCAGACCUGGCCGUCAUUCAUAUAUCAGUUGUGGUGGCCUUUGAGCCUGGGGUUUGGUCCAUCCAAGAGGUGGCCAGAAGCUCCCGCACCCACUGCCCGGGGCGGUUUUACGUCAGGGUCCUUGGCAGAGAGCCCAGCACAGGGUGGUGGCGGCUAUUAGGUGACAUCAUGUUCCGUACCAGGGCACCUAGCGCGGGAGGGUGAGGAUUGUUCCGUAUCGAGGGAGGGGCCGGCAGGGUGGCAGCAGGAGUUGCAUCAGAAGGGGACUUUGGACAAGAGAAAGCAGUCUGUUCAGUCCAACAUGCAGAGUCACAGGAUUGAGCAGUGAGAAGAAGCAUCAGUAACACUAGGGUUAAGCUUUGAUCAUCAGUUUCUUGAACAAAUAUGAGUAUACCUGCAAGUGCUUUUUUUAAGGGUAUAAAAUGCUACACAAAUACAGGGCUGUCCUCCUAAGUAGUCCGUGCUCCGUACUUUUAUAAGCAAGUAAUCAGGCACAGACAGCUGAAGUGACUUGCACCCUCGCCCAGCCUGCAGGGGGCAGGACUGGGGCUCCCAGGCCCCCACGAGUGGGCAGGCAGCAGGCAGGCCCCCUCCGGUGGGCUCAACAUGUAUGUGGCCCUGUGAGGUCACACACUUGCGCUGGCCCACAUAUCUGACACACGUUGGAGGCCUUUGAAGUCGGGGAAAGGGCCCGUGGUAGUGUGUUUGCAACCCCUCCAAAACCAGACCCUUUGUGAACAAGUCUCUAUUGUGACCUUCACCGUCAGGAACUUGGCCCCGAGACUCUUGGCAAUCUGCUGACAAUCAACAGGGUAAAGUCCGCUUGCCUCAGUGAACCGCUGACGCGCGUGUCCCCUGAUUAGCACUGCCACCUUCACUGAGGUCAGCACCUCGUCUGAGAAGAGGACUCUGGACGCACCACGUCCUUAGAGCUGACGCCACGGCCACCACCGCACCUGAUACCCCACCAUGCGCAGCACUUAGCGUUAUACCUGACACCAUACCUAGUACCUCUCCAAACAGUGUGCCGGGCAUCCCACGCAACUGCAUCUGAAACCGCCCCAGCACCAUUUUUGAUAGCCCACUGAGCAGAACACCUCGCAUCACACCAGUCCUACCGACGUUGCAUCUGACACCACACCUACCAGGAUGUGAAGGGGCCUGGUCCUGUCUGACCUUAACCCAGCAGGAUGUUGAGCACCUCCUACGUGCCAGGCACCGGACCAACUUCCUUAGACGUUAGAGAAGUAUUUGGAGCUUUGACAAGCUCCCCUAAUAAGGGAGAAGAGGACGGGUGACUAAAGGGGAAACCCAUGAGGCCUGUGUAAGAAGUCUGGGAGGUUUUAUGGAGCAGUAUAGGAGUGAGGGCUUUUGAAAACAAAGCUUCAUGUACUGCAGUUAAAUGCCUUUAGUUAUCUAAAAGUAAACAUAAGAAUUCUGGUUUCAUUUCAACCAGAAUGUUAUCCUUAUUUGUACUUGAAAUCAUGUUUUGGUUUAAGUUGUUUCAGCAACAAGUUGGUGGCUUUAAACCCACUCACGGGAGGUGGGUGGCCAGCCCACAGCUCCUCUGAGGGCCAGGACUGCUCACCUCCAUGGUAUCAAGGCUGCGAAGCUCUAGGUGCAGGGGGCACGUGAAACCACACAGGCAUCCUCUUCUUGAAGCUUUCUCUUCAUUUGGGAAGGGCACCCCACUGACCUGUCACUUCAUGGGAAGGGGCCUCGAACUAACCCAUCACUUCAGCCUCAUGGUCACCGUCCCUGCAGCAGGUCUGCAGACACUUGGUUCUGGCAUCAGGGAAGCUGCUGCCAGGGAGAUAAAACUGGCAUCAGGUACGCACACAGGUAAAUAGUGUCAAGCUGAGGUGUGUACACAUGAGGGCUGCGAUUAUCCAAAGGAAAAUCCUCCAGAUAGUGACAAAGCCAUGCAUCACAUCAGGCAUCACAUCUCGGAGAUGAGUGUCCUGGGCGGUGGGGGUGGGGUGGGGUGGGGUCGGGUGUGCAGAUGGCUGAAUGAAUGCAGAAGCCAGGUCAGGUGUGGGGGAGGUGGGUAGAAGGGGCACCUUGGGGAACAGUGCAGCCGGAAGAGGAAGCAUGGCUCAGAGUCCCAGGGCUGGUGAAACCUGUAAGCCAAAAAAUGACCUUCACUGUCACAGCCUUUUUUUUUUUUUUUUUAAUUGGAGUAUAAUUGCUUUACAGUGUUUCACAACCUUUUUAAGAGGUCUGACUUCAUUAAACUUUACCUGCUUUAAGUUGCAGUGUGAAGGUUUUGCAAACUGUGUGCAACCAACAAUUGUCUGUCACCAAGUGAUCAUAUCUGGUGAAGGGGGGCUUGCUGAUUGUUGGGGUGGGCUCCUUGGCUUGGCAGUCACCUGAGUGCAGGUGCCCACCCCUCCUGCCUGGAACUCGUGGGGGAGGGCCUGGCCAAGCUGCAGGGGAGCAGAACUGCGCACCAGCUGCUGUGUGCUGGUGGUGCGGGCGGUGGGGGUGAAUUACAGGAAAGGAGGACGCUGCAUUCCUGGCAUAUUCUUUCCCAAUGGUUCCCAGCUCUCUGCAAUACCGGUAUGAACCAGUUUUUUCUGACUGCCUCCAGCUUGAGCAGAAUUUCCGUCGUUGUUGUCCUCAGCCAAUUGAAAAUCACCUGGAGUUUUAUCCCAAGCACAAAAGAAGGUCAGAGAGAGGAGGCCCGAUAACUGCGAUUUCCCCCCCACCUCCCUGGUCCUGGACUGGAAGGUCCUAUAGCCUUUGUCUGCCAGGCCUGUGCUUCCAGGUGUCAGCACUGGAAAUUCUUUGAUUUUUUUUGUUUGCUGGCUUUGACAAGGGUCAGCCACCCUGAGAGACAAUGUUUAUCCUUGGGUUGCCCUGUUCUGACUCACUUAGCCUGAUCAGCAUCUCUGCCUGGUGGCCGCUCUGUGUCAGUCCUGCCUGCCUGCACCUUUCCCAGGAGGGUGUGGUUGGCACACCGGGUACUCAGAUCAUCAGUGUGAUAACUUGCCCCCCUACCCAACCCCUGCAGCUGCCACCACUGUUCUUGUUAGUCAAAGCUGAUUUUUCUGAAGAGAGAUGAACUUGUGGUUUUUGCUGGGCCUUUUGGCUCUGGAUCUUUUAGCAGCUGGUGCCCCUCAGGAUGAGGGGUCGGCUUGCAGCCAGGGGACCCUCUCUAUCCAAGGUCUUGUUGUUGGGCAGUUGCCACUGCAUUUCAGAGACGUCUUCAUGUAUUCUGUGAGGCAGAAGAUGGUGUUUAAGGCUUGAAGAAAGUGUGCUGCUCUCCAGAGGCUCCUUGGUUUCAGGGUCAUGCCCUGCCCCCCAGGGCAUGGCCCCACCCCCACUUAGAGCCCUAGGGUGUGUGUCCACAGUAGGACUUAGUGUGGACACAGGUAAGGGUAGGGACUCCAGUGCCAGAACCAGUUGGGGGCAAAGUAGAAACUAGAUUGGGUUUUACAAGCCUGUUGGUUCUUGGCGUGCAAGGCUGGUCUGACUCUUGCCCUAUUGCCUGCUAUGUCAGCAAGGCUCCUUGUAGUCCAGGCCCUCGGUUACUGGACGUAUGGGUGGGAGCCAGAGAGAGCCCUGGGCCAGGGCCACUCCCAGAAUGCAUGGAGCUUGCAUGGCCUGCUGUUCAAGCUCCACAAAGUUGGAAAUGUUUGGGGGUGUCCAGCAUGUCUGCUUCUUAGGCCCUCAUAAGGAACUAGGUGGAUGCCAAGCCCGGGGCAGCCUUACCUUGCCCUAGGCUGCUGAUCCUGAGACAUCCUCUCUUUCUCUCACAGGACUAAGUCAGUUGCUUUCUCUGGUGGACAUACUGCUUUUAAUCCUGUUAGAAAACUCAGAGGGAGAGAUUGGUCUUGGGGUUCCAUGCCCCAGAUGAAGAAUGUCCUUGGUUGUCAGGUUGCGUGAUGUGAGAUUCUCUACAGUCAGUGUUAAGGCUGGCGCCACAAGAGAACCCCAGAUCUCCCUUCUACCAUCAACUGACAAACUAAAAAUAACCAGAACGAAUGAUAUAAAUGCUCUGGAGCACUCCCCUCAGAAACACUUUCAGUGAGAGGCCGGGCUGCCCUGUGUGAUGCUCCAGGCCUGCGCCCGCCCCAAGAGGGUUGUGACUGGUGACACGCAGCCAUCUCUUGGACCGUCCAAGUCAUGUGUCUACGCAUCCUAAAGAGCCUGCCUGAAAAAGCCAGACCUUCAGGACCAAUCUCCAGGUUUCUGCCCAGACACAGACCCAUCUGGUACCUGUGCAAGCUCCCAGACAAGCCCAUCUGAACAACAUCUUGGUCGCACUUACUAGGAAGAUGCACACAAAUCUAGUGAACUUUCUCCUCUCCAGGUUUUUCAAGGAGUCUCACCAGAGUUCACUGACAGAAGAAUCUUAGAAACUGGAAAAACGCAUGGCAGAGAAGAAAGACAGUGUUUUCACGUUUCUAAACUGCUUCUUGUUGUUUAGUCGCUAAAUCAUGUCUGACUAUCUGUGACCCCGUGGACUGUAGCCCACCAGGCUUCUCCAUCCAUGGGAUCUUCCAGGCAGGAAUAUUGGAGUGGGUUGCCAUUUCCUUCUCCAGGGUCUAAACUGCUUGAGUUUUACUAUAUUUUUUUUGCAAUGAAGUUUUAUUAAACCUUAGUUUUUCUGACCUCUA